CAGUUGAUUUUGAGAAAGAAAAUACGGAGGCUGCUAUCAAAAAUGAGAUCGAUGAAAAGUUAAAAUGGAAAGCAUCGAAAUACAUCGAAUUACGAUAUAAACCAUUGAAAGAAGCAAAGUUUCGAAUGCUGUCUAAAAUUAUAGCGCAAAGAACCGAGGGUAGUUUUGGAACAUUGACAAUGUUCUGCCUUAAGAAUGAUAUGUACUAUGCCUUGACCUGUGCUCAUGCGGGUGUUGUCAAUAAUUUGGAUGACCGUCAACAAGACUUUUGUGGCAGAGUCCAAUUUAUGGAAAUCCAAGAAUCUCUAAAUGCCACAGUUAAUGAAGAAAGCAUGAAAUACUUUUACAACGGACAACCGACUGUCCAUGUUCCGGAUCAAACGAGAGUGGUGUCUAAUAAAGAAGUCGAUAUUAUGUAUAUCGUCAUUGGUAAGGAGGAAGAUUUUCAGGAGCUUGCUGUAAAUAAUCAGAUGACUCUCAAUUUAGAUUUGGAUAUGCAGUGCCAUACAGGCCCUCACCACCUGCAUUGCAUGUGAAACAUCCAACUCCAAUGUUCUCAAAAGACAUCUGAAUCGACUACACAUCAAUCCAAAUGCAUUUUCGACAAUUCUUUGUGCUCGUGAAAGUCUAUAGUUAAAAACUUUCUCAUCACCUAUUGCAGUCUGGUGUGGAUAUGGCUUCAUUAGAUUUUCAUUCAAAGCAAAUGCCUCAUCUCCAAGCAGAAAGUAAGGGAAUUUCAUUGGUAGACGACCGUCGUCAUGGAUUUACCUGCAAACGUUUAUACAUAAAUCUUGACACUCGCUAAGUUAUAUCAUUUGGCAGGAAGGCGUGUUACAGCAAAGACAAAUUUAAAAACUGUAAAACUACAUGUGUGGUGUCUCAAACAUGAUGAGUAUUGCGUCUACAUCAGGACCUACUUCUUACGAAAAGAUGUCUUUGCCAUCUCCCAUGAGUGACAACGACUAUGACAACAUUGACAAAACUCCUUCUACAGCAGUACUUGAUGAUAAUAACAGUGAAGACAUGAUUGGUGUUUCGCCUUCCACAUCAAAACCAGAAUUCACGAUUCCACCACAAUGGUGAAUCCAGUGUUGGGCAGUAAAUCACAGCACCUCACUUUUGGAUUGUUUUAAAAUUUGAAACUAUUUACUUGUAAUUAGAUUAGCAGGACAUAACUGAUUCUUUUGAAAUAUACUUAUGAUCAAUUACAUUGUUAUAAAAAAUGUUA
Molecule: long non-coding RNA, 1228 nt
Organism: Xenia sp. Carnegie-2017
Lineage: Eukaryota; Metazoa; Cnidaria; Anthozoa; Malacalcyonacea; Xeniidae
Exons: 6
Source: RefSeq, a predicted model, not a curated record